GCACACACUUCUCUCUCUCUCUCUCUCUGCCUCCUUUCGGAUUCAAAUCUCAGAUCUAGCUCAACCAUGGCGUUGCUCGUCGAGAAGACCUCAAGUGGCCGUGAAUACAAGGUCAAAGACAUGUCUCAAGCCGAUUUCGGUCGUCUCGAACUCGAGCUCGCCGAAGUUGAGAUGCCUGGACUCAUGGCUUGUCGUACCGAAUUCGGACCUUCUCAGCCAUUCAAAGGCGCUAGAAUCACCGGAUCUCUUCACAUGACCAUCCAAACCGCCGUACUCAUCGAAACCCUAACUGCUCUCGGUGCUGAAGUCAGAUGGUGUUCCUGCAACAUCUUUUCCACUCAAGACCACGCCGCCGCAGCCAUCGCUCGUGACUCCGCCGCUGUUUUCGCCUGGAAAGGUGAGACUCUUCAGGAGUACUGGUGGUGUACCGAGCGUGCUCUAGAUUGGGGUCCAGGUGGUGGUCCUGAUCUGAUUGUUGAUGAUGGUGGUGACGCUACUCUUUUGAUUCAUGAGGGUGUUAAAGCUGAGGAGAUCUUUGAGAAGACUGGUCAAGUUCCUGAUCCUACUUCUACUGAUAACCCUGAGUUUCAGAUCGUGUUGUCUAUUAUCAAGGAAGGUCUUCAAGUUGAUCCUAAGAAGUACCACAAGAUGAAGGAGAGACUUGUUGGUGUCUCUGAGGAAACUACCACUGGUGUUAAGAGGCUUUACCAGAUGCAGCAAAAUGGAACUCUUUUGUUCCCUGCCAUUAACGUUAACGACUCUGUCACCAAGAGCAA
RNAcentral lists this small RNA (776 nucleotides) under Arabidopsis thaliana (thale cress). Its description in RNAcentral is "ATSL218060". Lineage: Eukaryota; Viridiplantae; Streptophyta; Magnoliopsida; Brassicales; Brassicaceae. The record is from RNAcentral.